CCGGCGACCGGCGCACGGGUGAGUAACACGUAUGGAACCUGCCCGCAGCAGGGGGAUAAGCGGAAGAAAUUCCGUCUAAUACCGCGUAACAACGUUGGGAGGCAUCUCCCGAUGUUUAAGGAUUUAUCGGCUGCGGAUGGCCAUGCGGCGCAUUAGCUAGUCGGCGGGGUAACGGCCCACCGAGGCGACGAUGCGUAGGGGUUCUGAGAGGAAGGUCCCCCACACUGGUACUGAGACACGGACCAGACUCCUACGGAAGGCAGCAG
RNAcentral lists this ribosomal RNA (266 nucleotides) under uncultured bacterium. RNAcentral's name for it is "partial 16S ribosomal RNA". It matches the Rfam family "Bacterial small subunit ribosomal RNA", at positions 88 to 354 of the family's 1533-position model. The record is from RNAcentral.